GAUAAACGCUGGCGGCGCACAUAAGACAUGCAAGUCGAACGGACUUAACCAUUAGUUUACUAUUGGAGCGGUUAGUGGCGGACUGGUGAGUAACACGUAAGCAACCUGCCUAUCAGAGGGGAACAACAGUUAGAAAUCACUGCUAAUACCGCAUAAGCUGUGAGUAUCACAUGAUACAAAUAGAAAAGGAGCAAUCCGCUGAUAGAUGAGCUUGCGUCUGAUUAGUUAGUUGGUGAGGUAACGGCCCACCAAGGCGAUGAUCAGUAGCCGGACUGAGAGGUUGAACGGCCACAUUGGGACUGAGAUACGGCCCAG
This 315-nucleotide ribosomal RNA is filed under the name uncultured bacterium. RNAcentral describes it as "bacterial SSU rRNA". It matches the Rfam family "Bacterial small subunit ribosomal RNA", at positions 28 to 334 of the family's 1533-position model. The record is from RNAcentral.